GAUGAACGCUGGCGGCGUGCUUAACACAUGCAAGUCGAACGAUGAAAGCGGGAGCUUGCUCCUGCUGGAUUAGUGGCGAACGGGUGAGUAACACGUGAGUAACCUGCCCUUGACUCUGGGAUAAGCGUUGGAAACGACGUCUAAUACCGGAUACGACCUUCGGAGGCAUCUCCUGGGGGUGGAAAGAAUUUCGGUCAAGGAUGGACUCGCGGCCUAUCAGCUAGUUGGUGAGGUAAUGGCUCACCAAGGCGACGACGGGUAGCCGGCCUGAGAGGGUGACCGGCCACACUGGGACUGAGACACGGCCCAGACUCCUACGGGAGGCAGCAGUGGGGAAUAUUGCACAAUGGGCGCAAGCCUGAUGCAGCAACGCCGCGUGAGGGACGACGGCCUUCGGGUUGUAAACCUCUUUUAGUAGGGAAGAAGCGAAGUGACGGUACCUGCAGAAAAGCACCGGCUAACUACGUGCCAGC
RNAcentral lists this ribosomal RNA (473 nucleotides) under uncultured bacterium. RNAcentral describes it as "bacterial SSU rRNA". It matches the Rfam family "Bacterial small subunit ribosomal RNA", at positions 28 to 512 of the family's 1533-position model. The record is from RNAcentral.